AGAACGAACGCUGGCGGCAUGCCUAACACAUGCAAGUUGAACGAGACCUUCGGGUCUAGUGGCGCACGGGUGCGUAACGCGUGGGAACCUGCCCUUAGGUUCGGAAUAACUCAGAGAAAUUUGAGCUAAUACCGGAUAAUGUCUUCGGACCAAAGAUUUAUCGCCUUUGGAUGGGCCCGCGUAGGAUUAGCUAGUUGGUGGGGUAGAGGCCUACCAAGGCGACGAUCCUUAGCUGGUCUGAGAGGAUGAUCAGCCACACUGGGACUGAGACACGGCCCAGACUCCGUACGGGAGGCAGCAGGUGGGGAAUAGUUGGACAAGUGGGACGAAAGCCUGA
Molecule: ribosomal RNA, 337 nt
Filed under: uncultured soil bacterium
Lineage: Bacteria
Description: bacterial SSU rRNA
Rfam family: Bacterial small subunit ribosomal RNA
Source: RNAcentral